CUGGCUGGGUCGGAGAGCUUGAGAUGCCCCGAUACUCGCCACCACCUUUGCGGGAGGGCCAGAGCCAGCAGUCCAGCCCAGU
RNAcentral lists this non-coding RNA (82 nucleotides) under Azadinium spinosum. Lineage: Eukaryota; Dinophyceae; Gonyaulacales; Amphidomataceae. The record is from RNAcentral.